Molecule: long non-coding RNA, 1205 nt
Organism: Stegostoma tigrinum
Lineage: Eukaryota; Metazoa; Chordata; Chondrichthyes; Orectolobiformes; Stegostomatidae
Exons: 2
Source: RefSeq, a predicted model, not a curated record
GGGCUAAAUGACCUAAAUUAUCUGCUCCCAUAUCUUAUGGUUUAACAGCAUGUUAGCAGUUACAGUACUGGGGAGGUGGCAGAUGUUAAUAUUUAUGAGAAUAAUCUAGGUUGUUGUGGAGAGAUCCAGAAUCCCAAAGUCUACACUUUAUCUCCAAGACAACACAUCGGUUCACAAGAACCUCUGCUCCUAAUUAUAUUUGGAGUAUCGUACAUUUGUCUGUUUAACAUUUUCCACGAAAACAGGGCUCCUUUAAGAUCCUCGCACCUCAAAAAAAAGCGCGACCGUUUUGUUUCACCCCAAAAGACUCCAUUUGCUUUCCUGAAGGCGCCGAGAACGGUUUUUCUCCGCCCACACCUACUUCAAACGAGUUAGUAAACCUACGAAUGCAGGAUUGCAGAGCGAGUGCUGCAGACUGUGUGUCUGGAGGAGCAUUAAACCAACUAGUCUGCAUUUACUCAAGCUGUCAAGAAAAUGCCAAGACAGACACAGAAUACAAACUGCAGACAUCCAACCUCCGUCGGUCUGUCGAAGGAAACACGAUUGUAAAUUGUCACUUGUGUGUCCAUUGAACAUGUCACAAAGUAACAUUAAUGAAUCAAUGCGUUAACCUAUCAAACAUAAGGAUAAGUUGUUUCUGUUGAAAAUAGGUCAAUUGUCUCGUUUGGAGUGCUCAUACGAAGUUUCUGGACUCAACUGUAGAAGAACGUUACCGAACUCGGGUUAAAACCUUGUAACAUGAUUCGACCUUAUCACAACAAUGUGAUCGCAGGAAAACGUAAAGCGCACCAGUUGAGCCGCUGGUUUACUGAGUGGCCACAGGCUGCUGAAAUUUCUGUCACAUUCAAGGCAGUGAAAUAUUUAUGCGGUUGUCAAAAGGGCCACUGUGAGUACGUUUUACUUACAGACCCGGUUUCCAUAAGCAGCUUGCCAGUUGCCUGCUGACUUCACGGCUGAGGAUUUAAAUGAUUACCUGUAUUUGUCGAAUUUUGCGAAUUUACUCCAGUCCGCCGGGUUACUUUUAUAGGAUUCCAUCAGCGUUUGCACUUCUUCCACGUUGAUUUUAUCGCUAGAGAAAAUCUCAUGAAGUUGUUUAAUCAGAUCGUCUAACGUCUCCGGUACCUGGAACUGUGUCUGAUUCAUCUUCACGCUUACUUUUUUUUAAAGAAACCAAAUAAACAACGGAUCAGACCAAAGAAACAAAA